RNAcentral lists this ribosomal RNA (500 nucleotides) under uncultured bacterium. RNAcentral describes it as "partial 16S ribosomal RNA". It matches the Rfam family "Bacterial small subunit ribosomal RNA", at positions 30 to 523 of the family's 1533-position model. The record is from RNAcentral.
AUUGAACGCUGGCGGCAGGCUUGACACAUGCAAGUCGAGCGGGGGAAGGUAGCUUGCUACUGGACCUAGCGGCGGACGGGUGAGUAAUGCUUAGGAAUCUGCCUAUUAGUGGGGGACAACAUCUCGAAAGGGAUGCUAAUACCGCAUACGUCCUACGGGAGAAAGCAGGGGAUCUUCGGACCUUGCGCUAAUAGAUGAGCCUAAGUCGGAUUAGCUAGUUGGUGGGUAAAGGCCUACCAAGGCGACGAUCUGUAGCGGGUCUGAGAGGAUGAUCCGCCACACUGGGACUGAGACACGGCCCAGACUCCUACGGGAGGCAGCAGUGGGGAAUAUUGGACAAUGGGGGGAACCCUGAUCCAGCCAUGCCGCGUGUGUGAAGAAGGCCUUAUGGUUGUAAAGCACUUUAAGCGAGGAGGAGGCUACUUUAGUUAAUACCUAGAGAUAGUGGACGUUACUCGCAGAAUAAGCACCGGCUAACUCUGUGCCAGCCGCCGCGGUAA